GUCUAUGUCGCCCUCUGCUGGGUUUUAAAUCGAUUGCAGUUUCAAGAAUUUCUGGAUCAGUGAUGACUUCAUCGGGCUGCACCCGUGGUGGAGCGUCAGCCUUACUGGACUCGCCCCACAGAUUGGAGCCACCAUACAUGCUGGGCCUCCUUUGAUCGUAUUUAGUCACAAGAGUUGGAAAAAACCGACCAGAGUUGUAUUCCUCAUCCUCACCUGCUGUUGAACCUCUGAGGGAAUUUCUCUCUCAUAGAGUGGAACUGAUGAGCAACUGACGCAUCCUGCUCAACAAAAUCAUUUUUUUGUCUUUGCCUCAACGAGAAACUUCAGUUUACAUCUCAUGUUCAAGUACCGUAUUGCAUCCAUACUUCAGAUCAUUUGGUGUCACCUGUAUCCUCCAGCGGUCCAUUUGGAUCAGCUCACUUGCCUCAAUGUCCUUCAGGAUCUCUUUCAGCGCAGACAGCGAGCCAGGUCAUUGCCGGUCCCCAAGGGGAGGAUCGCUACUUGAGGAUUCACCUGGAGGCCAGCUUUAUCUGAAAACACAGCACCAGGGUUGGGUUCAUCCUCCCACAUUCUAUUCCACAUCUAUUAACCAAGUGCUCUGGUACCGAU
Molecule: long non-coding RNA, 609 nt
Organism: Syngnathoides biaculeatus (alligator pipefish)
Lineage: Eukaryota; Metazoa; Chordata; Actinopteri; Syngnathiformes; Syngnathidae
Exons: 5
Source: RefSeq, a predicted model, not a curated record